Molecule: long non-coding RNA, 373 nt
Organism: Bufo gargarizans (Asiatic toad)
Lineage: Eukaryota; Metazoa; Chordata; Amphibia; Anura; Bufonidae
Exons: 3
Source: RefSeq, a predicted model, not a curated record
AGACCCGUUGAAUUUCUUGUCGCAUCUGGUGAGGAGGCAAUACCAGUGGAAUGCAGAUCGCGGCUUCCGGGGUCACGUGAUGCGGUGGUGGAAUGCAAGUCCGCGCCUCCCGCGUCACGUGACACUCCGAUCACUUGAUCGUCACUCCAAGCAGCCCAUACAGUAUAAAACCACCGUGCUCACAGGCGAGUGUCCUGUGAUCCAGCGUGCCAUACACCCCAGCUACUAGUACCAGAUAACUAGAACACUGAAGAAGGUCCAUUUGGGAUCGAAAUAUCCGGUCAGCACGAUUAUCAAAAGUGGCUAUGAUAUUGCACAAUGUAACUGGAUCAUGAUUUAUAUAUAAUGAUGUCAAACUAAUAAAUGGUAUAAA